Xyrichtys novacula (pearly razorfish) is the source of this 8472-nucleotide non-coding RNA. NCBI's taxonomy places the organism in Eukaryota, Metazoa, Chordata, Actinopteri, Labriformes, Labridae. The record is from the annotation of a GenBank genome assembly.
CUCAUACAUGCAAAAAGUAAAUGUAUAUAUAUAUUUUUGAAUGCUCUUGGGGCCCCUAUUGGCCGCGGGGCCCUAAGCAGGCGCUUAGUUUGCUUAUGCCUUAUGCCUAUACUCUGGUAGGAAGAAUAGUUUUGUAAAAAGACACAAGCCAGGCAUGAAGAGGACAAGAUUAGGAAGGUCUGCUUUGUCCACAAGGGGGUGCCUCUUUCGUGUCAAUGCGUCGCCUAGCUCGGAAUCACAUCUGAUCGUGUUUUUACGGUGACUUUACUUUUAAUUCACUCGCGCGAAUGAUUUUAUUUGUGUUUGGUGUGAACCCAUCUUCAGUCUUGGGACCUUGCAGGAGUGCCUGAAGUGCUUGCAUUCUUUCAAACAACCAGCAGGGGUCGAUUUCUUUGGUUGCAAUUAUAUAUAUAUUUUUAAUUGCCUUAGCUCUUAGAUGAUUGAUUGGUCUUGACAGCAUUUUGCAAAUGAAUUUAUGGCCCCAAUUACUAGUUUCAGGUCUAAUUGAAUGUAUCAUGGUGUUGAUGUAUUAGUCAGAGUUGUAUUUAGAAUAAAACUGACAGUAUUGCUUGUUGCGAGGUCAACCAGCAGCCUCUCAAAUAGUAUGUUUGUCGAUCAGCUGCAUUGACCAAAUAUGGUCACUCCUUCCUCUGAAAAAGCAGUACGGUAACGGCCAAAAACCUGAAUUUUUAGCUUCACCAUGGCUCUUUUCCAGUCUAUGAAUCAGUCCCAAACCACCACCACCACCUCUCCACAUGGUUUUAACCUCGCACUUGAUCCUUGCAGAGCACAAGUGCUGCAACCCCACCCGUCGUAUUCGCUAACACACUUCUGCCCUGCUCCAAAGCCAGCGUGCAGAGCCGAGGUUAAGGAUGGUUAAGGACAAUACUAAUCGAUCCCCCAAUUACAGAGAGCUGGAGAGCUGGAAAGCUGGAAAGGUGGGGAGAAGAGAGAGAGAGAGAGAGGUAGCCUGGGGAUUGAGUGUUGGGAGGGUGUCUGAGAAUGCGAGGGGUGGGGGGAUGAGAGGUAGUCUUUAUCUUUGGAUCCCUUUCUCCUUUAAGUUGAAGCUGGGUGUCACGGGGCUUUUGAAGUAGUGGAUAGAGAGGAGGGACAGAAAGAGGGGGAGUAGAAGGGCUGGCGUGCAAGCAGGGUCCCUCUCCAUGCCAGGGGGAAGACGUCUGAAGGAAAAUCUUUACAGCCUUGACAGUGCCCCUGACUCGCAUGCAUUUUUGUGUAUUUUGUGUGUGAGUAUUUAGAUGUGUGUGUGUGUAUCCUAGCAUAUUUGUGUGCGAGUGUGCGCCUGAGUUGAAGUCUGGCUCUUGCAAUGAGGUGGGGAUCACAGAGCCCCCUUUUUAAAUUGCUGCUAAUGAGCCCUGGCUGGCGAGAGGUACUCGAAUUGAUUAAAUUUGCAUGGGAGCCUAAAUCAUGACGGGGGCCUCAUACUUGUGCCCCCCACCUCUAGGUGCACACACACACAUACACAGCACCCCUGGUAACACCCCCCUAAACCCCACUCAACAUCAGACCUACAGGGGGUCUCUCACUGCAGGAGAGAGGAACAGGAUAGAGCAGGGGGAGGGUGUGUGUGUGUGUACAUGUGUGUGUACAUGUGUGUGCGGUGUUGAACGGGGCGUGGAGGGCACCCAUCUGCCCCAGUAUUAUUGUCAGUCCAUCAUUCAGGGGAAUGCCAGGCGCGCGCCUCGGGGACGUGUUCAUUACGCUUUAACUACCGGAUCUGUCCUUGUCUCUCAGCCUCCUUGUGUCAUUGUCUGCCAGAGAUUGCGUGCGUGUAUAUUUAUGCAUGUGUCUGCUUGCAUCACAGUUGAACGCUCCCAGCCCUCGUGUACCAGGGGUUGUUAAGAGUGUUUUGAAAUUAGAGAUGUUCAGAUACAAUUUUCCUUACCAAUACUGAUACCCAUGCCUUGGAGGUGUAAUUGAUUAAAAACAUCCGAUUCCUCGGGAUGAGGAGUAAAUUUCCAAUCGGGAUAAACAAAGUAUUCCUGAUUUUGACUCUUCUGUACCAGAGCUAAAGAAAAACAUUGCUGUAUAUCUACAUAUUGUGGGAUAAAAUACACAAAUUACUGACAAUUUGAAGGAAUCAAUCUGCUAGCGCCAACCUGCUGCUGUUUGCAGUGUUGUAGUCAUGCCUUAAGUCCUCAGUGUUCAAGUCUGAAUCUAGUCAGAGUCACUAAAAAAGAAUCAGAGUUAAUCCUAGUCAAACUCUAUCGCUCAACUCCAAACCUGAAUCAAGUCCUUCUUCUCAAUUUUAUAUUAUUCUGUUAUAAGAAAGAUCAGUAACACUUAACUUGAUGCCUAUCUCUAUAAUGCAUUAUAAAUACACUCAAAUGAUCAUAAUGCUUUAAAACAAUAAUCAUAAGAAUCAGAAUCAUUUAUUAAUGGCCAUACAUCAGGGUUGGUGGAAUUUGUUUUCCGGUACAGCACAUCAUGCUCCCAUCUCCUGUGUCCGAUACAUACAUGCAGAAAUCAAAGAAAACAAUAAAACAACACAAGAUAACAGAUGUGAAGUUAUUUCAGGUAUUUGUUUAGUGUCUGUAUGGCAUUGGGGAAGAAAUUAUUCUUGAAUCUGGCUGAAUUGGCUGUUAAACACAUAAAGCGUUUUAUCAUGUGUUACAAGGUCAAGUCUUAUGUGUUAUCACUGUUAACAACUCACUGACAAUGCCCACAUAGAUAAUGCAUUAUUCAUGUAUUUAUGAUGUGUUAUAAUUUGCUUAUAAACUAGUAUAACUAUCAUUAUAAACACUCAUUAAUUAUCAUAAGGCUUUAUAACAAUAAGCCAAACACAUUAUAAUACCUGACCUUGUCAUGAUAAAAUGCUCUAUAAUGUGUUAUGAUUAUUGCUUUAAAGCAUUAUGAUCAUUUAUAAGUGUUUAUAACUAUAGUUAUACAGUGCUAUAAUGUGAUUGUAAUGCAUUAUACAUAUAUUUAUAAUGAGUUAUAGAGAUAGGCGUCAAGUAAAGUGUUACCAAAAGAUCUUUUAGGUGUGCAGAAAACAAAUUUAAUGUCUUAACAAUGAGCUCAGUGUUAGUUCGGGCAAGCCACAAAGUCAAGCUUAACCCACAGUACAUCAGAUGAUCCAUAUCAGCUGAUUAACUUGUAUGCAUCCGACUAGUCAUUUUCAGCAAGGCUACAUCAGUGCACUAACAUCCUGAUUCCUCUGAAAAACACAUUACCCCUACUUUUUAUGCUGUGUCUGAUUUUACUAGUGCCAAGUGUAUUUUUACAAACGCCUGCCCUGUUCGUUUUUUUGAGGGUCUUUGCUGCUGCUCUCCCUGUGCUGGAUUUUCAUAAAACAAAGUGGAGGUGUGCUCUUCCUGCUGAGGCCUUUGGCGUUCCACGUACACAUGAAGAAGAGCCGAGAGCUCACAGGACAGAACCGUACUACCAUACAAAUAGUUAAUUCUCUUAGAUAAAAGUCGUCCUGGCUGAAAUGAGACUCUGCAGAUCUUGUUGGCAUGAUAAACUCAGCAGAGUAAAAGUUAAUAAGGGGACUAAGUGAGGUGACAUUUGAUUAUAUUUUGAGGUGUUCAAGGUUGGUUUGGUAAAACAAAUAUAUGGUAAAAGUGAUCAAGAAAAAAAGUUUUUGGUGAAAAAUCUGUACAAGAGUUAGUAACAGAAAAGACUCAACAGCAGUAUUGAUAAAGACUCAAAUCAUUUAAUAGUCUCAAUUACGCUAUCAUGAUCAACAUUAUCAAUAAAAAGUAGCGAUCCCCUUCCCAAACCUUACCUCUCUCUUUAUGAGGAGAUGCACUCAUUGAUAUCUGGGAUCACUGCUGGUGUCUUACUCAAACACACACCAAACAACUCAUCUGCUGUUGUUAACAAUAUCCUAACCACCCAAACCCUAGAUAUUUAACCUGAGGCGAAUAAAACUGUUUUUAAAUAUUUUCUUCUAGAUAUUCUUCAGAUAUUCUUCUCUUUCUUUGUCACACUAGCAAAAAUUGCCCGUGUCAAACAUUAGUGCAUUGCUUCUCUAAUGGUUACCUUUCUAAUGGCAACUGUGUGAUGAGAGCUACUUUCUGUGUACUCGUGCACUUUGCAUCUGAUCAACAGUGAGGUGUCAGAGCGAGUGUGCACAUGUGUGUGUGUGUGCUUGUUGGGGAUGGGACUUGUGCUAGAGCGUGGUUAGCCCGGGUGAUUGCAGUAAUCAGAUGGGGGUGUUAAUCAGAGUUUGUUCGUCAGUGGCCUGAUGAGGGGCGAUGAGGGCCGCUGAUUGUAAUGUGAUGCUUCAAUCGGUCCCUCUGACGACUACAGAGACAAACCACCAAGAGAAUCAUUAUCAUACCGUACACUUUUUGUUUUCUUCCACUUUUGGAAACGCCACAAUACACUGCAGAAGUGUAAACAAACAACACAUUCAGCCACUGAAGUAUGUCAGACUCUAUUAUUAUUUUACAGGAUUUUUUUCAUUCCAGUGGACACAGUGAAGCUCUGUGACAUGAUGGGGUUAUAUAUCACUAUUUAGGUGUCAGUGUCACCCCCUUUUGAAUAACACCAGCAAGGGGGGAGGGAUUUGCUGGGGUUAGAGGGGAGAAAAAACAGUCGAGAGAAAGGUUGAGGGGGUGGGGAGGUAGAUGUGACCCCAUCGUUUAUAGUCCUGUCUUGUCACAGACAGGCGCACAUCAGAUCUUUUUCCCUUUUCUUUCAUUUUAUUGCAAAAAGGGGGAGGUAGGGGGGGUGAUCGCUGAUGCUAUUAUGGCUGCCUCAUCAGCCAAGUCCCUACAAGGGCUGAUACAAAUUAAUUAACCUAAUUAGGGGCUGCGAUUGCGGGUGUGAUUAUAGGGGCUGGAAGGGGAGGUAUGGAGGGAGGAAUGGUUGGUUCAUUGAGGUGGGGGUGCGCUGGCAGCCAGGGCCCAGGCGAUGAUGAGCCGGGAGGUGUGGGAGACGAGCCAAGAUGCUCUGCAUGGCUAAUGAGAGAAAACUAGCUAGCUUCAGCCUUCUCUCCUGUUUUCUGCUUCUUUCUCUGCCUUUUACAUCUACUGUGUCUUUUCGUUUUUCGGUCUCACUGUUGCUUAUCUUUAACAGUCUAUUAUUAGGCCUGCUGACUGUAAUCACAUUAAAUUAAUUUUACAUUGUCCAUAAUUACUCAUAUCCUAACCCUGUAAACUGAAUUCAUUUUGAAUUCAUUUACAUGAGUUGUUGUUUGAAUGUUGCUGCUGUCCCCUGUCUCUCUCUCUCUCUCUCUCUCUCUCUCUCUCUCUCUCCUUCACUCUAUCUUGUUCUCGUUCUCUCCCCCUUCUCUCUGGUCUGGUCCUGUUCAAGGUUUCUGCCUGUUAAAAGGAAGUUUUUCCUUGACACUGUUAAGGUCCUUUCACACCGGGACCGUUUUUUUCGUGCGAUUAUUUCAGAUGUAAAUAUUUUUUCGAACCCGUAUCCUGUCAUUACAAGCGUUCACAUCAGCGAUGUUUCCCCGUCCCACGAUAUUGCAGCAUUUAUUUUUUCGGAUCACGGUCGAAUUUUCUAAAGUUUCGCAUACUGUGUGUCCACUUCUGACCAAACAGGUUGUGUGUUGUUGCGACGUCAGAUUCACCGGUAUAUCCAACAUGGCCGACCGGCUGAUUGUUUACAUGUCAGAGAAUAGAGUACUUUUUGAUAAAAAACACAAAUAUUACAAAGAUAACAACCUGAAGGACAACUUGUGGAGAGUCACAGCGUCAGAUUUCUCAUAUGAUGAUGGUUUGUGUGCUUGAACAGUUUGCUAAACGUCUUUGUUUUAACUUUCAUCUGUGCUAAGUAACUUUAGCUCGUAAGCUAACCUGUUCAGAUACAACAUACCAUAUGUAUUUUCACCGUCUCAAACUCAAUCACGUUGCUGUCACGGCACCAUUAGGUCUCAGUUGUUGCCUUACGUUUAUACAGUUUAAUGUGCUUAUCUGGUACUGGCCCCGACUCAGUACAUGCUAUCAUGACAGACAGACAUCUCAACACUAGUGUCUAAUCAGAACUGAAAAACAGUCAGUCUGCUGUUGUGUCAGUCUUCUUGCUUCCACCCAGGAUGCGUCUUUUCCCCCCCGGAAAGUCGCUUGAUGUGUAUUGUCAGGCGCGUCAAAAUUCGCCUCUGAAUAUUUUGUAAUUUCGCGUUCUAUAUUCGCGUCAGCCCGGUGUGUAAGGACCUUUACUCAUGUUAGAUGAGAUGGGCCAAAUCCCAUCUUAGGUUGGCUCUUGAUAAUUCAUCAAACAAUGAGCGUGGUCUAGACCUGCUCUUUUUCUUUAGAAAACGUCUUGGGAUGACGACUGUUGUGAAUUGGCGCUAUAUAAAUAAAAUUUGAUUGAUUGAUUUGAUUGAACAGUCAUGAAAUCUUAUAAAAAUCUGUUUUUUGUCUAUUUUCAAUCAAACAUUUCUGUGGAACACAAAUAUUUUUACUGCUGUUUCCACCCCAAACUUGAACUUCCCUUUGCACCUGUUGCGACACACAGAAGACCAAUCAGUCCGAACCUUUUCUUUUAGGGUUAAUGUCGUCAGACCUCAAAAGAGAGAGCACAACAGUUCGGGCGUCCUGAAGUGCAGCAUGAUUUCAGAUGUCUCUAAAAAGCUGUGGUCUGCUCUUUGUUGAUGUUCUGUGAUAUCCCUCUGCAUAGGGUGCACUAGUGCAGCACUGCCUAUUGUUCACUAUAACUGUACUCCACACAAGGAACAGAAGUACCCUCUGGGAACACACAUAGCUACACACACACACACACACACACGUUUUUUUCUCAUCCUUUCGUAUGCACAACCAAUCGCGGCUCAACACACAGAUGCACACAGUACACUUAAACUCUCUCCCUCUCUCUCUUUCUCUGUGUGUCUGCCUUUCUCUCUGCCACACACCAGAGGAGCAAUAUUUAAAUCUCCUUCUAUUUGUAUUGGAAACAGAACAAAGAUAUUCUUCAGACCGAAGCAAAAUGUGUUUUCUUGCCGGCAUCAGCAAUUCUAAUGUUUUUAAUGAGUCGUAGGAGAAGACAAGCGACUGAAAGAAGCAGUUAGAUAUCAGUUUAUAAAAAAAAAAAUACCAAAGAAAAGAAAGAAAACACACCCAGUUCCUCUGAAGUGCAUUUGUCAGAGCAUCUACCUUUUUCAGUGGUGACACCUUUUGUCAGUAUUGUCCACUGAUUGCAAUGUCAUGUUUGAAUAUCGUCACUGUAUCUGCGCCAUGCAAAGCAGGCAGUGGAUUGAAGCAUUUGAUUUCUGAGAUUGUGCCUUUGGCUGCCUCUCCUCUUCCUCUCUUUUCUCAUCUUGUAGCUCAUCCUUUCCCUGCACUAGCUGUUUCUGCAUCAGCAUCAGUUGCAGGGAUGUGAUUGUAAAGUCACUACUAGACGGUAAUAUGGAGGUGUUCAUAUUAGAUUUCUAAUCCAGAGCCCCAGGAAAAACUUGACUCCUCUGUUUUUCUUCUUUCAUAUACUUUAAAGAUGGUUAAAACAGCUUAAAUGGCUAACUCUAAACAAAUUAUGAUCAAUUUAGUGCAGCUCCCUCGGGGCUGCAUUGGCACAAGAGUUUUAACAUCUUUCUGCUCAUUGUUUUGGGUUUUCUGUCAUGAUUUAGUAAAGUGUUAUGUUUACAGGAACUAUGUCAAGAUUAAAGGAAAUGUACAUAACAGACGAUCACCAGCCAGUACAGAUAUUUGAGAAUCAGUAAGAGGAAUAUUUAACCUGCUUAUAGUCGAAAAUGGACAUGUAGGACUUAUAAUCAUCAGGUUAUCCAUCGCUUUUUGGAUGCAGUAAUGUACAUUUUUAUUGGUAAUGGUGUCAAAAGCUUGCAGGGUUGUAAUUCAGAAGAAUUUUCUAAUAUUUAUUUUAUCAUCACAUAGACCAUUUGUAGGCUUUUCAUGCCUUUAUUGAGGGGAUAGUACAGAGAGCGGGUAAUGACAUGCUGCAAAAGACUCAGGGUUUGAGUGGAACCCACGUUUGUUUCGAGGAGAUGCUAUGUAGCUGAUGAGCCAGAUCUGUGCUAAUGUUUCAGACAUACAUCACUGAUAAAAAUACUCAUUUGUAGACGUUCUUAAAAUGUUAUCACUUAAAGGCUAAAUCUAAAGCGAAAGGCGAACUUCUACAUCAAAACCAGGUUUAAUGUAUCCAUCAAAAUCAAAACACAAACUGGAUAUUUUCAGCAAAUAUGCAAGGAGUGAUAAGAUGCUACUAUAAACAGUAUUAACCUUUGACAUUGGAGUUAUCUUAAUUUAAUUAUGCCAUCUGCUCUGUGUUGCCAUCCAUCUAAGUGUUUCAUACCCUCAUAUUCCCUGCAGAGAGUUAGCUGCUUCAGGAAUAAGCAAAAGACUAAACACAGACAUUUCAACAGUCACUUUAUAGAGCACAAGAAAUAAUAACGCUUCAUUUCAAAGUCAGGGUAAAAAACAUCAAUUAAUAGUAGAUAAGCCAUUUAUAAGACUGUAUAAGAUGCUUAUAAUGUUAUAAAUGUUAAUAAGUGUCAAUAAAAGCAUAAUCAGCAUAUUUAUUAUUGCUUAUAAUACAGUUUUA